RNAcentral lists this ribosomal RNA (496 nucleotides) under uncultured bacterium. Its description in RNAcentral is "partial 16S ribosomal RNA". It matches the Rfam family "Bacterial small subunit ribosomal RNA", at positions 28 to 507 of the family's 1533-position model. The record is from RNAcentral.
GAUGAACGCUGGCGGCGUGCCUAAUACAUGCAAGUCGAGCGAACGGACGAGAAGCUUGCUUCUCUGAUGUUAGCGGCGGACGGGUGAGUAACACGUGGAUAACCUACCUAUAAGACUGGGAUAACUUCGGGAAGCCGGAGCUAAUACCGGAUAAUAUUUUGAACCGCAUGGUUCAAAAGUGAAAGACGGUCUUGCUGUCACUUAUAGAUGGAUCCGCGCUGCAUUAGCUAGUUGGUAAGGUAACGGCUUACCAAGGCAACGAUGCAUAGCCGACCUGAGAGGGUGAUCGGCCACACUGGAACUGAGACACGGUCCAGACUCCACGGGAGGCAGCAGUAGGGAAUCUUCCGCAAUGGGCGAAAGCCUGACGGAGCAACGCCGCGUGAGUGAUGAAGGUCUUCGGAUCGUAAAACUCUGUUAUUAGGGAAGAACAUAUGUGUAAGUAACUGUGCACAUCUUGACGGUACCUAAUCAGAAAGCCACGGCUAACUACGUG